UACGGGGGGGGCAAGCGUUGUUCGGAAUUACUGGGCGUAAAGGGCUCGUAGGCGGCCAACUAAGUCAUACGUGAAAUCCCUCAGCUUAACUGGGGAACUGCGUGUGAUACUGGAUAGCUUGGAUUUGGGAGAGGGAUGCGGAAUUCCAGGUGUAGCGGUGAAAUGCGUAGAUAUCUGGAGGAACACCGGUGGCGAAGGCGGCAUCCUGGACCAAUAUUGACGCUGAGGAGCGAAAGCUAGGGGAGCAAACGGG
Molecule: ribosomal RNA, 253 nt
Filed under: uncultured bacterium
Lineage: Bacteria
Description: partial 16S ribosomal RNA
Rfam family: Bacterial small subunit ribosomal RNA
Source: RNAcentral